AGAGAAAAGAUAAGCAAAGAGAAAGAGAAAAGAUAAGCAUCUAGUUGCAUGGAAAUGAGAAUAACAUUUUCAGGCACUUCUGCAGGCAGUCUGAUGGGUAGGCCUGACAUCCCUAUUGACAUUUCUGAGUACACUAUGUAGGAGACUUCUGUAUCUUAUUUCUCUUCCUCCCCCAAUCAGCAACACACAACAAGUAUGGUGAUCCCAUAAGCUAAACUUGAAUAGGGAAAUUGCCAUUAAAAUUACUUAUUUUAAAAAAAAACUCAUCAAUUUUUUAAUAAUUAUAUCAAAGUUUCAUAUAGUUUCAUUUCAGGAGUCAGAUGAAACAAUAGAACUUUUUCUAACAUUUUUUUUCCCUAAAUUAUACACAUGGGCCUAGAUAUUAUGGAGAGAUCUGAGUUGUGGAAAGACAGCAAUUUACUCACAUUCUUUUAUUUUGUAGAUCACUUUUAUAUUAUCUAAAGAAGGUGGGUUUUAAAAAUAUUUAUUGAUGAUUUCUUUAAAACUCUAGGAGAAAUUAGCAUGACAAAGACAAAACACAUAUAGGGUCUCAGUUAAGUCAAAGUCAGCAAACUUCAAUGCCUGAACUCAUCACUGAGUUGUCAUGGCAACCAUUUCAUUUUUCUAUUGUGAGGAGACAAUUAGGUGCUAACCUGGGUGUUAGCUCAAGCUGUUUGAAAGAUAAGCUCCCAUCUUUACAAAAGAGUAUUUGGGAAUAGACACCGCAUCAGGCUUCCAGUCAGGAGAGCAAAGCACUGAGAUGCAGGUGAUUUCAAGCAUGAACAUAAUCACUUAUCUCAUGCUCCAGAAACUGAUUUGCAUUCACCUGGAGCGCUCACCUUACGUCUAUACAAAUAAAGAAUGCAAUUGUGUGUAGCCUUAAUAUCAUGUCUGCCUGGAGAUAUUAAAUGAGAAAACAAAACACAGUGAAACUGGGUCUUGUCCAAUACUCAUCUAGUUGCCUCCAUUAAUCAUACAUCAUUCUAUGACCAGAUGCCUAUCCCACACUAUUUGGUGUGUGAGUAUAUCUCUAUCUACCUAUCUGGCAUCUAUUCAAAGUUAGGAGAUCUAAGUAGAAUAGCAUAAAAAUUAUCUGCAGAGUAUGAGGCCAUCUAAUAAUGACACUUGCAAUUUCUGGCACCACUAUGUGACAGGGACUGUGUUACCUACUCUUUACACAUGAUUUCUUUUAAUAUUCAGAACAGUGAGGAAGUCUUUGUGGUAAUGGUAAAUGAGGUAGGAGUUUAUAUCAGACAUUCUAGUAACAAACAUCUUGGCAUUGAAUCUUGAUUUUAUCAUUUGCCUGAAGUAAAGUAACUUACCCAAAGUCACCACUAAUAAUCCAAGGCCAACAUUUGAAAAUAGUUUUAACAACAAAAAUAUUUUUCCUCCCUUGAAUCAUCAUUCUAAAGGAUGCAAACUCUUGCCCCUGCCCCACAGGGGGAAAAACAGUAUUUUUAUUUUCCAUUAUAUACUGGGUUCUUCCAUCAUCAUAUAUUAUUUCAUACUUAAGCAAAAACCCUCAGGGCACUGACCUUCAGGAUGGCUGAAAGAAUCCCAAUUGCAAACAUUCUGGCUCAUUCUCAGCUAUGUGACAUUUAUUUCACAAAUAUGUGAGCACUCUAAUUAGGAAGCAAUGGAUAUAGGUAGUGAAGACAGAAAACAUUGGUCUUAACUGCCAGGAACUUUCAUUUCAAUGUAAUAAUGUGAAUGUUUCAAACAUCUGUCAGAUAAUAAUGUACCCUUCCUCUUUACUGUGACAACAUUGGCUACAUUUUUCAUUUUUAUUACAUAGUCACUGAGAUUUCAUGAGAAUUGUGAAACGUCUCCGAUCCCACUGAUAGACUCCAUUAAAGCCUUUUUGUCCUAAUUCUCAACUGUCACCUGGGAACAUACAAAACUGGUUAUUUCUCAUAAAAUAGUCAAUGAGAGAUGAAAUAGGAGUUUGAAUAUACUUUCAAACAAAAUGGAAGCAAACUAAACGAGAUUUUUCCCCUAAAACAGGCUGUUGUUUUUCAGUGGAUUUCAUAAGAAGAAAAUCAUUUUAAAAUGUAUUAAGAUUGAAUGGAAAAAAACAGUGUAGAAAAUAAAUUAUUUCAUGUUAUAGCCAAUAAAUAAAUCAAUAACACUAACAUCCUUGAUGAGUGGUUAUUACAUGCUAGUAACAGUUCUGUGUAUUUAUAGAGACCAUUUUUUGAUCCCAACAAUGUUAUGAGAUAGCUAUUACUGUUAUCUCCAGUCUAGUAAUGAGGAAACAGAAGCACACAAAUAGAAAAAAAUGCUACUAACAGACUACAAAUAAUAGCUUUUCUUGAAACAGUGCUAAAUGCCAAGGAUACUGAUCAUACCUAAUACUUGCUUCAAGUGUAGAACUUCCUGAUUUACCAGAAUUUAAUAAGUGGAUACCCUGCAGCAGACAUCGUGUUUAUUUUCCAGUCAUUUCUUCUGAAACAUGACAUAGGUGUUGUUAAAAGAUCACCAUGCCAUUCAAAAGUUUCCCAGGAGAAAACACAGGACUUACAGGAAACCGGAUUAGAGACACAACACUGAGAAACAUCAUCAGUGACACUUAAAAUAAAAAAAAAAAAAAAAAAAAA
Macaca mulatta (Rhesus monkey) is the source of this 2597-nucleotide non-coding RNA. The record is from RefSeq and is a predicted model, not a curated record. Lineage: Eukaryota; Metazoa; Chordata; Mammalia; Primates; Cercopithecidae.